This 162-nucleotide small nuclear RNA is filed under the name Dermacentor silvarum. Its description in RNAcentral is "U1 spliceosomal RNA". It matches the Rfam family "U1 spliceosomal RNA". Rfam says of the family: U1 is a small nuclear RNA (snRNA) component of the spliceosome (involved in pre-mRNA splicing). Its 5' end forms complementary base pairs with the 5' splice junction, thus defining the 5' donor site of an intron. The record is from RNAcentral. Lineage: Eukaryota; Metazoa; Arthropoda; Arachnida; Ixodida; Ixodidae.
AUACUUACCUGGAGUCGGGCUUUCAGGUGAUCAGCCAGGCCGGGGCCCCGUGCCGAGGCCUGCCAUUGCACUCCGGUUGGCUGAAGCACGCCACUAUCCCAAACUGGGAUGGCUGGGACAUGUAGUUUUUGGUAGUUGGGCUUAGCGUGUGCGCCAGCCCCC